UAUAGUGGCAAUUAAAAAACUUCGUUUAUAUAAACUCCUCUCCUUCAAAGAGAAAAAUAGUAAUAAAAUUCUCCUUCCUCCACAGGUGUAUUGGGUCUUCUCAUGGUGUCUGGCCUUCCUUCAGGGUCGUCUCUCCUAACUGGAGUCAGUGCUGGAGCGGCUGAGCAGUGCCCACGCUUUCCUCUUGUCUGUCCGUCCGUCUGGUUGUGGCCUAAGUUCGCAAAGCGAACACCAACAGCAGUAAGGGCUCCUUUCCGCCCAAAAAGUCUAGAAUCUUUACCCCCUGGCCCUAGGUUGAGCUCGACCUAACAGCUGAGGACAGCGCCUAUUUAUUCUAGCGCUGUGUUACUAAUAGAAAGGAAAUAUGUGUGUCAAGGUCCUGUCCGUCCGUCUGAGUUCACGUAUACGUCCCGCAAUAGUGUUCGUGAGGAAAAGGGUACCUGCAGCACUGUCGGCUGACCAGUGCUUUUGAUAUAGAGCUUCCCACGAUGGACAGAGGAGGUGGAGGUGUAGCUUUAUGUUUCCGCGUUUGGCUUUUUGUUAUUUUGUGAUCAACUUUAGUGGUGUCUAUUGUCUUUGAUUUUCAAGUUUAGGAUUUUUAACUAUUGACUUAGAUUUAGUUUUUAGUUUUUUUUUUUUUCUUUUUAGGUCUUUUAUUAUUACAUUGGUAUUUUCCUUUUUUUUCAGGUUCUUUGGCUUUGUUUCGAAACUUUUCCCUUUUCAGGUUCCUUUUUAUUUAAUUUGAUAACAUUUCUUUCUUUUCCAGAGUUUUCAUAGAUUUUCUUUUUCAGCU
Stomoxys calcitrans (stable fly) is the source of this 793-nucleotide long non-coding RNA. RefSeq lists it as uncharacterized. NCBI's taxonomy places the organism in Eukaryota, Metazoa, Arthropoda, Insecta, Diptera, Muscidae. The record is from RefSeq and is a predicted model, not a curated record. The transcript has 3 exons.